Molecule: ribosomal RNA, 254 nt
Filed under: uncultured bacterium
Lineage: Bacteria
Description: partial 16S ribosomal RNA
Rfam family: Bacterial small subunit ribosomal RNA
Source: RNAcentral
UACGUAGGGUGCGAGCGUUGUCCGGAAUUAUUGGGCGUAAAGAGCUCGUAGGCGGUGUGUCACGUCGGCCGUGAAAACCUGCAGCUUAACUGUGGGCGUGCGGUCGAUACGGGCAUCACUGGAGUUCGGCAGGGGAGACUGGAAUUCCUGGUGUAGCGGUGAAAUGCGCAGAUAUCAGGAGGAACACCGGUGGCGAAGGCGGGUCUCUGGGCCGAUACUGACGCUGAGGAGCGAAAGCCAGGGGAGCGAACGGG